UUUUGACUGCAUCAAUAUCAGCACACAUUAAUUAUCCUUUGCAUGGAUUCCGUGUGUUAUUUGAAACAUCUUCUAUGAAGGCCACAUCAGAAACUCAGUAUUCAGGUAAAUACUGGAGUUAUUUCACCAGAAACAUCCCCACCUCACCUCAAGGCACUUGGCUCCACAGUAAACAGGCAUGGUACUGUUUGCCAGAUAAUCUUCUCCCUGCAGAAGUUUGUUGCUGUAGCAACAUGUUAGAAGAACCAGGAUGCCAAAGUGGCCACGCUGUACGUGCAUGCAAUGGAACAGUGGUUCCAGGAGAAAAAAGUGGAAACAAAAAAGCAAAUCCAUCUGCAGCACUGCUGAAUGAUGAAUGCUGGAGUAUUUCUACAGUUAUAAUACUGUUUAUAUAGUUAAAUCCACAAAGAAUGAGUCUCUUUGUAUAAGCAAGAACAUCAGAAGACCUUACAUAAAUGGGAAUUGGAGUAA
Molecule: long non-coding RNA, 471 nt
Organism: Pezoporus occidentalis (night parrot)
Lineage: Eukaryota; Metazoa; Chordata; Aves; Psittaciformes; Psittacidae
Exons: 2
Source: RefSeq, a predicted model, not a curated record